RNAcentral lists this long non-coding RNA (384 nucleotides) under Oryza sativa Indica Group (long-grained rice). Its description in RNAcentral is "lncRNA OsZS97_07G009890". Lineage: Eukaryota; Viridiplantae; Streptophyta; Magnoliopsida; Poales; Poaceae. The record is from RNAcentral.
GAAGCUCCUAAUUCUGUAUCACUUUUGAUCGUUCUAAUAAUCCUCUUUGCACCAGAAAACCCAACAAUCUGGAAGGAGUUCAACAGGAAAGAAAGUACACGUCAGCUUGAGUUGCUGCGAGUUGGCAUAAAGAAUGGUGGGAUGGUGAUAUCCGAUAGGGUGGAUGGAGGAGCCAGUGGUGUUAAAACUGAAUGUGAGAGUGAAGCUGAAAGUGAUAAUGAAGAUGAAAAGGCUAAGGCUAUGGUUAGAGCUAUGCUUCGAACAAACAAAGGUGUCAAAACUGAAGAUGACAGUGAAACUGAAAGUGACAAUGAUGAUGAAAAGCCUAAGGCUAUGGCUAUGGCUAAGGCUAUAGUUAUACUUCGACCAAACAGAGGUAUCUAA